AACGCACCUUGCGCUCCUUGGUAUUCCGAGGAGCAUGCCUGUUUGAGUGUCAUUAAAUUCUCAACCUCACCAGUUUUGUAAUGAAUCUGUGUAAGGCUUGGAUGUGGGGGUUUUUGCAGGCUGCCUCUGUGCGGUCUGCUCCCCUGAAAUGCAUUAGCGAGUUCACUAAGCUCCGUCUAUUGGUGUGAUAAUUAUCUACGCCGUGGAAGGGGUUUAGACUUGCUUCUAACCGUCUGCAAAGACAACUUUUGACAAUUUGACCUCAAAUCAGGUAGGACUACCCGCUGAACUUAA
This 294-nucleotide unclassified non-coding RNA is filed under the name uncultured fungus. RNAcentral describes it as "partial contains 5.8S ribosomal RNA, internal transcribed spacer 2, and large subunit ribosomal RNA". The stretch from base 1 to 52 matches the Rfam family "5.8S ribosomal RNA", at positions 103 to 154 of the family's 154-position model. Lineage: Eukaryota; Fungi. The record is from RNAcentral.